GGGAACAUACCCUUUUCUACGGAAUAGCUCUGGGAAACUGGAAUUAAUACCGUAUACGCCCUACGGGGGAAAGAUUUAUCGGGGAAGGAUUGGCCCGCGUUGGAUUAGCUAGUUGGUGGGGUAAAGGCCUACCAAGGCGACGAUCCAUAGCUGGUCUGAGAGGAUGAUCAGCCACAUUGGGACUGAGACACGGCCCAAACUCCUACGGGAGGCAGCAGUGGGGAAUAUUGGACAAUGGGCGCAAGCCUGAUCCAGCCAUGCCGCGUGAGUGAUGAAGGCCUUAGGGUUGUAAAGCUCUUUCACCGAUGAAGAUAAUGACGGUAGCCGGAGAAGAAGCCCCGGCUAACUUCGUGCCAGCAGCCGCGGUAAUACGAAGGGGGCUAGCGUUGUUCGGAAUUACUGGGCGUAAAGCGCACGUAGGCGGAUAUUUAAGUCAGGGGUGAAAUCCCAGAGCUCAACUCUGGAACUGCCUUUGAUACUGGGUAUCUUGAGUAUGGAAGAGGUAAGUGGAAUUGCGAGU
Molecule: ribosomal RNA, 520 nt
Filed under: uncultured bacterium
Lineage: Bacteria
Description: bacterial SSU rRNA
Rfam family: Bacterial small subunit ribosomal RNA
Source: RNAcentral